CCGCGUCCCCAAGUCAGGCGUGAAU
RNAcentral lists this ribosomal RNA (25 nucleotides) under Cryptomeria japonica (Japanese cedar). RNAcentral's name for it is "partial nuclear 28S ribosomal RNA". Lineage: Eukaryota; Viridiplantae; Streptophyta; Pinopsida; Cupressales; Cupressaceae. The record is from RNAcentral.